CCUACGGGAGGCAGCAGUGGGGAAUAUUGCACAAUGGGGGAAACCCUGAUGCAGCGAAGCCGCGUGAGUGAAGAAGUAAUUCGUUAUGUAAAGCUCUAUAAGCAGGGAAGAAAAUGACGGUACCUGAGUAAGAAGCCCCGGCUAACUACUUGCCAGCAGCCGCGGUAAUCAGUAGGGGGCAAGCGUUAUCCGGAUUUACUGGGUGUAACGGGAGCGUAAACGGCAGUGCAAGUAUGGAGUGAAAGGCGGGGGCUCAACCCCCGGAGUGCUCUGGAAACUGUACGGCUGGAGUGCAGGAGAGGUAAGUGGAAUUCCUAGUGUAGCGGUGAAAUGCGUAGAUAUUAGGAGGAACACCAGUGGCGAAGGCGGCUUACUGGACUGUAACUGACGUUGAGGCUCGAAAGCGUGGGGAGCAAACAGGAUUAGAUACCCCAGUAGUC
Molecule: ribosomal RNA, 440 nt
Filed under: uncultured bacterium
Lineage: Bacteria
Description: partial 16S ribosomal RNA
Rfam family: Bacterial small subunit ribosomal RNA
Source: RNAcentral